UACGAGGGGGGCGAGCGUUGUUCGGAAUUAUUGGGCGUAAAGGGUGCGUAGGCGGUUCCGCAAGUCCUGUGUGAAAUCUUCGGGCUCAACUCGAAGUCUGCACGGGAAACUGCGGGGCUUGAGUGUGGGAGAGGUGAGUGGAAUUCCCGGUGUAGCGGUGAAAUGCGUAGAGAUCGGGAGGAACACCAGUGGCGAAGGCGGCCUUCUGGACCAAUACUGACGCUCAUGCACGAAAGCGUGGGGAGCAAGCAGG
RNAcentral lists this ribosomal RNA (253 nucleotides) under uncultured bacterium. RNAcentral's name for it is "partial 16S ribosomal RNA". It matches the Rfam family "Bacterial small subunit ribosomal RNA", at positions 524 to 776 of the family's 1533-position model. The record is from RNAcentral.